AUCGCCAAUUAUGAGAAAUUCAUUUUCAGCUACACUUCUAAUACUAUGACGUCUUUUGUUCUCGAACUUUCCACUUGUCCAUUUAUAUGUAGUAUUUAUGCCUACUGAGUCUGCAAUUGUGAUAAUUUACGUGACGUGAAACGCUCGUCUUGCAGGGAGCGCGUAUUUGUAUCCCUCCGCAAAUGGCGCACUUCCUUGUUCGCAUCGAACAUUUUUUGGUAUUUUUAUUUGAGCUGCAAUUUUCUUAAUAAGUAAGGUCCACGUAUUCAUUUCUACGCGUUAAUAGUGAUUGUGGUUUUAUUGCUUCACAGGACGCCUCAUUAUCGUUUUUUGAAACAAGUGGAGGAGAACCAUUUCCAAGGGAACUGAAAGCAGUGCAUUUCCUUACUAACUGGACCUGUUGAAGGCGUGAACAACUUGGUGAGAAAAUGUGUAAAAGCUCAUUAAAAGAGUGAAAGUGCUUGCGAAAAUUACUAAACAUUGAGGAAGUGAAAUUUUCUGUCUAAACAGGAAUGCACAGUGUAAUUUGACUUUUUGCAACCCAUUGGAGGAGAACCAUUUCCAAGGGAACUGAAAGCAGUGCAUUUCCUUACUAACUGGACCUGUUGAAGGCGUGAACAACUUGGUGAGAAAAUGUGUAAAAGCUCAUUAAAAGAGUGAAAGUGCUUGCGAAAAUUACUAAACAUUGAGGAAGUGAAAUUUUCUGUCUAAACAGGAAUGCACAGUGUAAUUUGACUUUUUGCAACCCAUGAGCCAGUUGCGACAACAACCGAUACAUUUAAGGUGAAAUCCAUGAAGGGAACAGAGACUUACAUGUUUGUUCAUCCGUGACAUGAAAUGCCAAGAAGUGCUGUCAAAGACGUUUUUCAUAAUCAGACCAGUCUUCCGCCGUCUCAUCGUAAGGAGGAAAAGGAGGUAUAGACAACAACGAGAAACGGCCCGCAUUUGAUGCCGCGAUGAAAUCACGAAUUGCCGAUGUGAGAAGUGUUUGCUGUUCAAUGACACCUUGCAAUAGUUGCUCUAAAGUAGCCAUGGAAACCUGUGGGUCAACAAUAAAAAGGAAAAAUCCACUACCUUGUCGCCGAUUGUUAUAACGUCAAGUGAAACACAUGUAUGUCAAAACGUCAAAACACAUGUAAGUCACAGAGCAAGUUGACCAAGCAAAACAUGUGAGCAUGGUAACAUUUGAAUGAGCUCUGAGUCCAAGUCUAGCGGCCGCUGGCUGGCUGGCCGCUUGGGUGGCGUGGCUGCUGCAUGGCUGGCAGACAGCGCCGCACGUAGAGGACGUGCGUAAUUGUGCGGCGGCGCUUUGAAUGAUCGGCGAGUCACAACAUUAUCUGACAUGAAACUUUUGAUACGAAUGUUGGACCAUGCAAUAUCAUUGUUUGCACACAGGUUUUUGUUAAUACCACUUCCUUAAACUGCUGAAAUUUUUUGAUCUAUAACUGUUACAUUAGGUUGCAUAUUGUUUUCUACACUUAAUUUUUUUUGUUUUAAACUGGUGGAAAUUUGUCGGGUAGUAGCUCUCAACUCACACAAUUUUUUCCACUAUGGCUUCUGUUCAACUCUGAUGUC
Molecule: long non-coding RNA, 1575 nt
Organism: Schistocerca serialis cubense
Lineage: Eukaryota; Metazoa; Arthropoda; Insecta; Orthoptera; Acrididae
Exons: 4
Source: RefSeq, a predicted model, not a curated record